UGGAGAUAUAUAGUGGUUUGA
Caenorhabditis elegans is the source of this 21-nucleotide non-coding RNA. The record is from Ensembl. NCBI's taxonomy places the organism in Eukaryota, Metazoa, Nematoda, Chromadorea, Rhabditida, Rhabditidae.